This 544-nucleotide long non-coding RNA is filed under the name Anas platyrhynchos platyrhynchos (common mallard). Its description in RNAcentral is "lncRNA (ENSAPLG00000025376.1)". The record is from RNAcentral. Lineage: Eukaryota; Metazoa; Chordata; Aves; Anseriformes; Anatidae.
CAGCACUGACUCUUCCAGGCUGGCAGAUACUAUGUGCUGUGACUGUUGGAGAAUUGUCACCUUACAAGCAAAACACCAAAAGGGUGGACAUACUACCUCAGUAAUUGCAUAACUCCAUUUUCCUUUCCAAACUACUUGGGACAGAGCUGGCAUUUAAGAAGGGUGAUUGAAAAAUAUCAAGUGAAAGAUACCUCUGUUUUCCUUCCUCUCAGGCAAUGUUGGCAGCAAGCACACACACAGUAACGUAAGAAACUCUAAUCUUGAAAUGGCUUUCCAUCUUGAAAUGGCAUGUUCCAAGAGCAAUUGUAUUACCUGUACCAACAGAUAUGUGAAUUUGUGUUGCGUUUGGCUGUAGUUACAAGCUGUAUGCUGUUUUUCUUGGCAUAAGGAAAAUCCACAUUCUGGAAUGUCACUGCUUGUUUGCACACCACUCCCUGACAAACUCUGGUGGCUCCUUUGGUGAUCUGCUAGCUUGAAGCAAGGCAGGGAUAACAUAGAACAAGUACAUAAGAUCUAUGUAAAAUAAAACUAAAUUCUAAAGACA